RNAcentral lists this ribosomal RNA (615 nucleotides) under Curvularia lunata. Its description in RNAcentral is "partial large subunit ribosomal RNA". It matches the Rfam family "Eukaryotic large subunit ribosomal RNA", at positions 41 to 670 of the family's 3401-position model. The record is from RNAcentral. Lineage: Eukaryota; Fungi; Ascomycota; Dothideomycetes; Pleosporales; Pleosporaceae.
UAUCAAUUAAGCGGAGGAAAAGAAACCAACAGGGAUUGCCCUAGUAACGGCGAGUGAAGCGGCAACAGCUCAAAUUUGAAAUCUGGCUCUUUCAGAGUCCGAGUUGUAAUUUGCAGAGGGCGCUUUGGCUUUGGCAGCGGUCCAAGUUCCUUGGAACAGGACGUCACAGAGGGUGAGAAUCCCGUACGUGGUCGCUAGCUAUUGCCGUGUAAAGCCCCUUCGACGAGUCGAGUUGUUUGGGAAUGCAGCUCUAAAUGGGAGGUAAAUUUCUUCUAAAGCUAAAUAUUGGCCAGAGACCGAUAGCGCACAAGUAGAGUGAUCGAAAGAUGAAAAGCACUUUGGAAAGAGAGUCAAACAGCACGUGAAAUUGUUGAAAGGGAAGCGCUUGCAGCCAGACUUGCUUGCAGUUGCUCAUCCGGGCUUUUGCCCGGUGCACUCUUCUGCAGGCAGGCCAGCAUCAGUUUGGGCGGUGGGAUAAAGGUCUCUGACACGUUCCUUCCUUCGGGUUGGCCAUAUAGGGGAGACGUCAUACCACCAGCCUGGACUGAGGUCCGCGCAUCUGCUAGGAUGCUGGCGUAAUGGCUGUAAGCGGCCCGUCUUGAACCACGGACCAAA